This 862-nucleotide ribosomal RNA is filed under the name uncultured bacterium. RNAcentral describes it as "bacterial SSU rRNA". It matches the Rfam family "Bacterial small subunit ribosomal RNA", at positions 35 to 913 of the family's 1533-position model. The record is from RNAcentral.
GUUUGCGGUGCGCCUUAUGCAUGCAAGUUGUACGGGGUUAUGGUUUUCGGACUGUAAUCUAGUGGCGAACGGCUGAGUAACACAUAAGUAACCUACCUUCAAGUGGGGAAUAACCUGCCGAAAGACAGGCUAAUACCGCAUAUGAUACUCAAGGAUUGCUUGGUUAUUAAAGCCUUAGGGUGCUUGAAGAGGGACUUAUGUCUGAUUAGCUAGUUGGUAGGGUAACGGCUUACCAAGGCGAUGAUCAGUAGCUGGUCUGAGAGGAUGUCCAGCCAGAUGGGGACUGAGAUACGGCCCCAACUCCUAUGGGAGGCAGCAGCAAGGAAUUUUGGGCAAUGGGCGAAAGCCUGACCCAGCGACACCGCGUGAGGGAAGAAGGCCUUCGGGUUGUAAACCUCUUUUCUCGAGGAAGAAUUUUGACGGUACUCGAGGAAUAAGUCUCGGCUAACUACGUGCCAGCAGCCGCGGUAAUACGUAGGAGGCGAACGUUAUCCGGAUUUACUGGGCGUAAAGAGAGCGUAGGUGGUUCCUUAAGUCAGGUGUGAAAUCUUCUGGCUCAACCAGGAGAGGUCAUCUGAUACUGUGGAGCUUGAGGGCAGCAGAAGGAAAUGGAAUUCCCAGUGUAGCGGUGAAAUGCGUUGAUAUUGGGAAGAACACCAGUGGCGAAGGCGAUUUCCUAGGUUGUUCCUGACACUGAGGCUCGAAAGCGUGGGGAGCGAAGCGGAUUAGAUACCCGCAUAGUCCACGCCGUAAACGGUGGACACUAGAUAUGGGAAGUUAUCGACGCUUUCUGUGCCGAAGCUAACGCAUUGAGUGUCCCGCCUGGGGAGUACGGCCGCAAGGCUAAAACUCAAGGAAUUGA